UAGGGAAUAUUGGUAAUGUGCGAAAGCGCGAACCAGCAACGCCGCGUGCACGAUGAAGGCCUUCGGGUUGUAAAGUGCUUUUAGAGAGGAUGAGGAAGGACAGUACUUUCUGAAUAAGCCUCGGCUAACUACGUGCCAGCAGCCGCGGUAAAACGUAGGAGGCUAGCGUUAUCCGGAUUUACUGGGCGUAAAGCGCGUGCAGGUGGUUUCGUAAGUUGGAUGUGAAAGCUCCAGGCUUAACUGGGAGAGGUCGUUCAAAACUGCGAGGCUUGAGAGUGGUAGAGGGAGGUGGAAUUCCGGGUGUAGUGGUGAAAUGCGUAGAUAUCCGGAGGAACACCAGUGGCGAAAGCGGCCUCCUGGACCAUUUCUGACACUCAGACGCGAAAGCUAAGGUAGCAAACG
RNAcentral lists this ribosomal RNA (402 nucleotides) under uncultured bacterium. Its description in RNAcentral is "bacterial SSU rRNA". It matches the Rfam family "Bacterial small subunit ribosomal RNA", at positions 355 to 774 of the family's 1533-position model. The record is from RNAcentral.